RNAcentral lists this ribosomal RNA (275 nucleotides) under Bacillus pumilus. RNAcentral's name for it is "partial 16S ribosomal RNA". It matches the Rfam family "Bacterial small subunit ribosomal RNA", at positions 1207 to 1480 of the family's 1533-position model. The record is from RNAcentral. Lineage: Bacteria; Bacillati; Bacillota; Bacilli; Caryophanales; Bacillaceae.
ACCUGGGCUACNCACGUGCUACAAUGGACAGAACAAAGGGCUGCGAGACCGCAAGGUUUAGCCAAUCCCAUAAAUCUGUUCUCAGUUCGGAUCGCAGUCUGCAACUCGACUGCGUGAAGCUGGAAUCGCUAGUAAUCGCGGAUCAGCAUGCCGCGGUGAAUACGUUCCCGGGCCUUGUACACACCGCCCGUCACACCACGAGAGUUUGCAACACCCGAAGUCGGUGAGGUAACCUUUAUGGAGCCAGCCGCCGAAGGUGGGGCAGAUGAUUGGGG